CAAAAGAGUGACAGCGAGAGCAACAUCAAAGAUACCUUGGAGCAGCAUCGACAACAACAGCAGACGUUUUCAGAUAUGAGUCACGUGGAAUAUUCAAGAAUUACA
This 105-nucleotide non-coding RNA is filed under the name Saccharomyces arboricola H-6. RNAcentral describes it as "Ure2 internal ribosome entry site (IRES)". It matches the Rfam family "Ure2 internal ribosome entry site (IRES)". The record is from Rfam by way of RNAcentral. Lineage: Eukaryota; Fungi; Ascomycota; Saccharomycetes; Saccharomycetales; Saccharomycetaceae.